This 492-nucleotide ribosomal RNA is filed under the name uncultured bacterium. Its description in RNAcentral is "partial 16S ribosomal RNA". It matches the Rfam family "Bacterial small subunit ribosomal RNA", at positions 29 to 507 of the family's 1533-position model. The record is from RNAcentral.
AGUGAACGCUGGCGGUAGGCCUAACACAUGCAAGUCGAACGGCAGCACAGUAAUAGCUUGCUCUUACGGGUGGCGAGUGGCGGACGGGUGAGGAAUACAGCGGAAUCUACUUUUUCGUGGUGGAGAACGGAGGGAAACUUACGCUAAUACCGCAUACGACCUACGGGUGAAAGCAGGGGAUCUUCGGACCUUGAGCGAUUGAAUUAGCCGAUGUCGGAUUAGCUAGUUGGCGGGGUAAAGGCCUACCAAGGCGACGAUCCGUAGCUGGUCUGAGAGGAUGAUCAGCCACACUGGAACUGAGACACGGUCCAGACUCCUACGGGAGGCAGCAGUGGGGAAUAUUGGACAAUGGGCGCAAGCCUGAUCCAGCCAUACCGCGUGGGUGAAGAAGGCCUUCGGGUUGUAAAGCCCUUUUGUUGGGAAAGAAAAGCAGCAGGUUAAUACCCCGCUGUUCUGACGGUACCAAAAGAAUAAGCACCGGCUAACUUCGUG